This 513-nucleotide ribosomal RNA is filed under the name uncultured bacterium. RNAcentral describes it as "partial 16S ribosomal RNA". It matches the Rfam family "Bacterial small subunit ribosomal RNA", at positions 28 to 523 of the family's 1533-position model. The record is from RNAcentral.
GAUGAACGCUGGCGGCAUGCCUAAUACAUGCAAGUCGAGCGAACAGAUGAAGUGCUUGCACUUCUGACGUUAGCGGCGAACGGGUGAGUAACACGUAAGGAAUCUACCUAUAAGCGGGGGAUAACAUUCGGAAACGGGUGCUAAUACCGCAUAAUAUCUUCUUCCGCAUGGAAGAAGAUUGAAAGACGGCUCUGCUGUCACUUAUAGAUGACCUUGCGGUGCAUUAGUUAGUUGGUGGGGUAAUGGCCUACCAAGACGAUGAUGCAUAGCCGACCUGAGAGGGUGAUCGGCCACAUUGGGACUGAGACACGGCCCAAACUCCUACGGGAGGCAGCAGUAGGGAAUCUUCCGCAAUGGGCGAAAGCCUGACGGAGCAAUGCCGCGUGAGUGAAGAAGGCCUUCGGGUCGUAAAACUCUGUUAUAAGAGAAGAACAAAUUGUAGAGUAACUGCUACAGUCCUGACGGUAUCUUAUCAGAAAGCCACGGCUAACUACGUGCCAGCAGCCGCCGUAA